UAUUUUGCUAUGACUGUGAUCUACUUUCGGUGUUCUGUAUUAAGUCAAUUUUGUUAGAUUCUUGGCUUUGUUUUAUCAAAAAAUUUCUCAUGCUAACUGCUGAUUAUUACUUAUUUUAGUUAUUGCGUUCUGAGCCAAAUUGUUCUGCAAGUGUUCCAAAAUUUCAUUUUCUUGUAGAUUGUUGGUAAUUUGAAAAUAGAAAGCUUGAGCAUAUCAUUUCUACGCGUG
This 228-nucleotide unclassified non-coding RNA is filed under the name Hevea brasiliensis (rubber tree). The record is from RNAcentral. Lineage: Eukaryota; Viridiplantae; Streptophyta; Magnoliopsida; Malpighiales; Euphorbiaceae.